Molecule: ribosomal RNA, 252 nt
Filed under: uncultured bacterium
Lineage: Bacteria
Description: partial 16S ribosomal RNA
Rfam family: Bacterial small subunit ribosomal RNA
Source: RNAcentral
UACGUAGGGUGCAAGCGUUAAUCGGAAUUACUGGGCGUAAAGCGUGCGCAGGCGGCUUUGCAAGACAGAUGUGAAAUCCCCCGGGCUCAACCUGGGAACUGCAUUUGUGACUGCAUGGCUAGAGUGCGGCAGAGGGGGGAUGGAAUUCCGCGUGUAGCAGUGAAAUGCGUAGAUAUGCGGAGGAACACCGAUGGCGAAGGCAAUCCCCUGGGCCUGCACUGACGCUCAUGCACGAAAAGCGUGGGGGAGCAA